GGGGGCGAAACGGUUUCGACGGGGGUUGGAAAUCGCUCGACGCAUGUCGCGGAGACUACGGACCGUGUUAAAACCUGUGGUAAAACAAAGCUGCCAACACUGACAGCUACGCCCUCGCGGCUUAGUUCUGCGAGCGCCCCUGCCAACCAUCCUGCGGGUAGGAUUUGGGGUGUCGACACAGUAGGAUAGCCAACCCACGCACCGCCUGAGCGUGGGCGCGCGAAAUCAAUCAGGACACCUCCAAAAGGCAGCCUGUCGAUGGGCGUCCAAGCGGAGGUAAAGAAAAACAUCGACUAAACAUGUAGUGGCGUUCGACGGAUAACUUUCGGACCCGGGUUCGACUCCCGGCGCCUCCACCU
Molecule: transfer-messenger RNA, 359 nt
Filed under: Myxococcales bacterium
Lineage: Bacteria; Pseudomonadati; Myxococcota; Myxococcia; Myxococcales
Also listed under: 1 other name
Rfam family: transfer-messenger RNA
About the family: Bacterial tmRNA, also known as 10Sa RNA or SsrA, is named for its dual tRNA and mRNA-like properties. Its role is to liberate the mRNA from a stalled ribosome. To accomplish this part of the tmRNA is used as a reading frame that ends in a translation stop signal.
Source: RNAcentral